This 253-nucleotide ribosomal RNA is filed under the name uncultured bacterium. RNAcentral's name for it is "partial 16S ribosomal RNA". It matches the Rfam family "Bacterial small subunit ribosomal RNA", at positions 524 to 776 of the family's 1533-position model. The record is from RNAcentral.
AACGUAGGAGCCAAGCGUUAUCCGAAUUCACUGGGCGUAAAGCGUGUGCAGGCGGAAUGGUAAGUUGGGUGUGAAAUCUCCUGGCUCAACUGGGAGAGGCCGCUCAAUACUGCCGGUCUCGAGGGCAACAGAGGGAGGUGGAAUUCCCGGUGUAGUGGUGAAAUGCGUAGAUAUCGGGAGGAACACCAGUGGCGAAAGCGACCUCCUGGGUUGCACCUGACGCUCAGACACGAAAGCUAGGGGAGCAAACGGG